RNAcentral lists this long non-coding RNA (2904 nucleotides) under Homo sapiens (human). Its description in RNAcentral is "non-protein coding lnc-GINS2-2:5". The record is from RNAcentral. Lineage: Eukaryota; Metazoa; Chordata; Mammalia; Primates; Hominidae.
GCGUGCGAAUGUGUGAGCAUGUGUGAGUUCCUGCGUGUGUGACUUCAGGCGUGUGUGUGUGUGUGUUUGUGUGUGUGUUGGAAUGGGGGUGGGGGGCGGUCCUGGAAAGGCCGAGAGCCUUGGAAUCUGAGGAGUCUGCAGCCCAUUCUUGAUACUGCUUUACUUUCCAAAAAGUUAUGACAACAAAACCACCCUGGGGCCCAGACCUGGAAGCCGUCAGCUAUGGAGGACCCUGGAAGCAGGCAGAGAAAGGUUUGGAGUUUUCAGUGCGAUGACACCAGCGUGCCUGCGGAAGUGGCUGUGUCUCCUCUUGCCUCCUUCCCCACCCAAUUCCGCCCCAGGAGCCCAGGGAUGGAGGCCCAGGAGACGGAUCCCACAAGAGCCAGCACCCACUCCACCCCAGGUAGCUGGCAGUAUCUGUCUCUUCAAUCUGACUGAUCACCCAACUUGGGGUGGGGAGCUUUGAAAAAUGUAGACUCCCAGGCCCCACCCCAGAUCCUCUGGCUGGGAUUUGCUGGGUGGUAGAAACCCAAGGAAGUUUGUGUUUUCUAGAACCCCAUAAGAUUCGGAUGCAGCCAGUGGGGGACAGGAACUUCAGCAGGGGAAGCCGCAGCCCUGGGUGUAGACCCCAUCCACUCGUGCCUGAUGCAGCCCUCCUCUCAAGGAAGGGCGAGCUCACUGAAGGGGACAGGUCACAGGUCAGCCCAAUUCACCCUGAGCACAGAAAUGCACACUGCAUUUAGGACGGCCGGAUUGCUGGACCAAACCUGUCUCUCUGUCCCCUGCACACAUAUGCACAUGCGCAUGCACAGAGACGCAUGCUGAACUUCUACGGAAGAGGAGAGCGGUAGGACCAGGCUCUCCAGGGUCCUGCCUUGGGGUCUCUCCCCACAACUGUGGCAUAAACCUCUCUCCAGAAACAGAGGGCCUGAUAACCCGUCAGCUCCCCAGAAUCCGAAUCCUAAAAGGCUCUCCCCAGGGUUCGUCCGGCUUCAGCAGAGACCCUUCCCACCCAGGCCGGAGCUUCUCCCUCUCCCUACACGCUUUUCCACUGUGAGACUGGAACAUCAUCGGGACAGCCCAGAAUGUCCUCUUCCCCUGCAGGAGCUCAGCAAACAUCCACAGAGUGAACAUUCCAAGCAACAUAGUCCAGGAGCCACGUUCCAGCCAUGGGGCCUCUGCACUGCUGUUCUCUUCACAUGGCCUGCCCUUCCCCCAGAAAGAGAGAAGAGGCCCUCUCUGGUUGUCCCAUCAAAACUCCACCCUUCUCUCACCCUCCUCCCAGCUGUAUCCCUUCUCUGCAGCCCUAACAUGCAUUCCACUUUAUUUCCCUUGUCUACUGUCUGCCUCUCUAACUACUAAGUCAGUUCCAGCCGCUCCAGGAUUUUUGUCUUUUCAGUUUAGCCCUGGUUCCUCAGGGCCUUAGUGACUAGUGUGUAGUGCCUAGCAGCCAGUAGAUGCUCAAUAACUGCUUGCUGAUUGACUGGGGUGAGCUCCCCAUCCAUGGAGCUAUUUCAAGCCAAGCCUAGACGAUCUUUCAGGGCUAGUUCUAACCUAAGACUUGGUAGUUCCAUGACUCUCUUCCUGGCCCAGACCGAAAAGGAACUUUCAGCAGGAACCCGGGACUGGGAUCUGAGAUGGGGCUCCUUGGAGGACUCUGACUAGGAAGAGAGACGGGAGGCCGCACCAAAAACACAAGCCCUUCAUGGGUCUCCCAGGCGUAGGUCUGGGGAAUCCCCCAGGCCCCUCAGGAUCGACCCUGCUGGCCCUGGAUCUCCAGGACGCGUCCCUCUGACCUGCCUGCCCGGCCUGUGAGUCCCCGGCAGCAACCGCUGCAGACACAGGCUGCCCAGCGCCAGGGCCAGGCCGGAUUAUCAUACAUUAAGACAUAAUUACUCUGCGGAAAUUUACAAUACAAAGCGCCCUCCCCAAGUUGGCUUCAGAAGGAUUCCAAGGAUACAAAGACCUGCUGUGUCUGCCACCGACCCAAGCUGGCCCCAGCCAGAAUUUCAAAAGAAGUGGGUGGGUUAGUUUUUGGAAAAACCCCAUUCUACCCUCCAGGCAGAAGCCCCGCCCCAAGGGUAGAGCCCUCUGAUACCCCAAGCCCCACCCAGAGGGGAGGGUCCCCUCCACCCCGACCAGCGUUGCUCCUAAACCACUCGGGUUCCCCCAAGCCCAGAAGCUCCAAGCUGACACCACCAAGGUCACCCCACUUCUCCCAAGUUCUCUCUUUUUAGACUAUUUAGGCCUAAGGGCAGAAAGAACCUUAAAUCCCAAGAUGCUAGCUUUUGACCUGCAGAGAGGUGUGGCAGCCCACUGACAUUGAUUAAGCGCCUGCUGUGUGCCUGGUACUGUGCCAGCAUCAGGAUGCCACAGAGAACAAGACAAACCAGAUCGCUGUGCUGGGGGGAGCUUACAGUCCAGUUGAGGAGACGCAGUAAGAUGCUAAAAAAAAAAAAAAUGCACAUCAGGUGUGCAGGAUGGGUGAGUGACCGGGGUGCACGGUGGCCAGAGAGCCUCAAAGGUGGCAUCUGAGCAGAGGCCUGAAUGAGCAAGAGAGACUAGCCUGUGCAAAGGCCCUGAGGUGGGGCCAUGUGUGGUGAGGGGUAGUGGAGGCAGAGAAUGCUGGCUUUUACUCUCAAGAGGGUUUCCAGCAGGGAAGCUGCCUGAUUCGGGGGACACUUGGCCUGCUGUUCUGUUAGAUUCCUGCAUCUACCACCUCCUGGCCCUGGGAUGCUGGGCAAGUCAGUUAGCCCUUUAAGCUUUUGUUCCUCCCUGCAAAAUAAAAACAGUAACCACAGCUAACACACGCUUGUUGCACAGAACAAGACAGAGAAAGUCGGGAAAGGGAGGGCCAUGCAUGUGAGGGGCGGGGGAGAAGCUCUCUGAGCCUUAGCUGCCCCA